CAGUAGCCGCGGUAAUACGUAGGUGGCAAGCGUUGUCCGGAAUGAUUGGGCGUAAAGGGCGCGCAGGCGGCUGUGUAAGUCUGUCUAGAAAGUGCGGGGCUAAACCCCGUGAGAGGAUGGAAACUGGACAGCUGAGAGUGUCGGAGAGGAAAGCGGAAUUCCUAGUGUAGCGGUGAAAUGCGUAGAUAUUAGGAGGAACACCGGUGGCGAAAGCGGCUUUCUGGACGACAACUGACGCUGAGGCGCGAAAGCGUGGGGAGCGAACAGGAUUAGAUACCCGCGUAGUCCCUGUCUCUUAUAC
RNAcentral lists this ribosomal RNA (301 nucleotides) under uncultured bacterium. Its description in RNAcentral is "partial 16S ribosomal RNA". It matches the Rfam family "Bacterial small subunit ribosomal RNA", at positions 509 to 807 of the family's 1533-position model. The record is from RNAcentral.